RNAcentral lists this unclassified non-coding RNA (573 nucleotides) under Hevea brasiliensis (rubber tree). The record is from RNAcentral. Lineage: Eukaryota; Viridiplantae; Streptophyta; Magnoliopsida; Malpighiales; Euphorbiaceae.
AAAGCCAAAGGAAGGUCCAAGCCGGUGCAGCACUUGCAAGAAACGGGUUGGUUUAACAGGGUUCAAGUGUCGAUGUGGCAACUUUUUCUGUGCAUCUCAUCGCUACUCGGACAAACACAACUGCCCAUUUGAUUAUCGCAAUGCGGCACGUGAGGCUAUAGCAAAAGCCAACCCCAUUGUCAAGGCUGAGAAGCUUGAUAAGAUCUAGAUCAAAUGGGGUGAAGUUUCAUGUACUGGAACUUGAUGAUCAUUUUGUCUUUUGAGGCUUCUGAGUUGGCCAAGUAUCUUAGCAGGUGUCCUUCUGUAUUGUUGUGUAUGGGAGAAGCAAGGCAGCAUAGGACAUCUCUCUGCAAAAUGAAGGACUCUAUAUCUUGUGAUUGGCGAGAGUUUAUAUGUUGCCUCCAGUGUUAUUAAGUCUAAAUCUGUGCUGGUUUGAUGGACUUUGUCAUGGUUAGGUUUGUACUGUGUCAUCUUGUUUCAUAUAGCAUUUCGCAGGUAGUACGUCAAAAUGGCUUGUGCAAUUUCUAGAAGAUAUAUGGAAGUCAUCCAUGGACGCUCAUGGGCGUAGCUUCG